RNAcentral lists this ribosomal RNA (497 nucleotides) under uncultured bacterium. RNAcentral's name for it is "partial 16S ribosomal RNA". It matches the Rfam family "Bacterial small subunit ribosomal RNA", at positions 28 to 507 of the family's 1533-position model. The record is from RNAcentral.
GACGAACGCUGGCGGCGUGCCUAAUACAUGCAAGUAGAACGCUGACGCGAGGAGCUUGCUCUUCUUGGAUGAGUUGCGAACGGGUGAGUGACGCGUAGGUCACCUGCCUUGUUGCGGGGGAUAACUAUUGGAAACGAUAGAUAAUACCGCCUCACACUGGAUGACACAUGUCAUUUAUUUUCAUGGGGCAAUUGCUCCACUACAAGAUGGACCUGCGUUGUAUUAGCUAGUAGGUUAGGUGAUGGCUCACCUAGGCGACGAUACAUAGCCUACCUGAGAGGGUGGUCGGCCACAACGGGACUGGGACACGGCCCAGACUCCUUCGGGAGGCAGCAGGAGGGAAUCAUCGGAAAUGGGGGCAAAGCUGACCGAGCAAAGCCGCGUGAGUUAAGAAGGGCUUCGGAGCGGAAAGCUCUGUUGUAAGUCAAGAAAAGGUGUGAGAGUGGAAAGUUCACACUGUGACGGUAGCUUAACAAAAAGGGACGGCUAACUACGUG